RNA transcript from Megalobrama amblycephala (Wuchang bream), 1207 nucleotides. It is a transcript of the gene named cysteine rich DPF motif domain containing 1, with no coding region annotated. The record is from RefSeq and is a predicted model, not a curated record. NCBI's taxonomy places the organism in Eukaryota, Metazoa, Chordata, Actinopteri, Cypriniformes, Xenocyprididae. The transcript is spliced from 4 exons.
GUACUGCAAGCGUAAACUAUAAUCCGGAAGUUCUGAGACUGUCCUAUUUGACGCGCCGUACUGACGUUAAGCACUAUGGCGUGCCUUCAGAGAGCGUGCUCACUCAAAACAAACAGUUAGGAUUUGUUUGAACGGGAUACAUGCAUUGUGCAGGAUGAGGAGCGCGCUUUAGAGCGAAUGGAUUUUACCGAAGGAUCCGCGCUCGGCGUGUUCAGCUGUGAGCUGUGCGAGCUGUCCAGUCCGUACAGUUUCUACGGGCAGAAGCCGCCAAACACGAGAGCAAUAGUGCUCUUGGAGGAAUGUUAUGGCAUGAAGGAUCCCUUCAGCCCGGAGAGAGAGAAGUUCCUUGUUUUAGGAUCCAAGUGCUCUCUGUGCAGUAAGACGGUGUGUGUGGGAACGGACUGCAGUCUGUUCUACACCAAACGCUUUUGUUUGCCAUGUGUGCGGGAUCACCUUCAUCAGUUUCCAGAACAGGUUCAAAACGAGGUGCUGAGGAAGAAGAGUGUCCAGAAGAUGUCCUCCCCAUGAUGAUAUAUUGUUUAUGAACAGAGGACACUAGUGAGCCAUCUGGCCAAGACACACACUAUAUAAAUGUGAUUAAAUGAUAUAGAUGAGAUUCGAACCUGUUGCUGGAGGAGUGCUACAUUGUUCUGAGUGUGGGCAGUACCACUACACCACAGCUGGGGAGCUACUUACUUCAAGAUUUUCCACCUUGAUUUGAGCCCUACUCAGCCCAACUGGUUUAGUAGCAAAAAACACAGGUGAGUAGUGAAAUAUAAGUUCCAGCACAUGCAUAGGAAGAGAUCUGUGGCUCAAUGGUAGAGCACUGGCACACAAUGCCAGAGGUCGCUGGUUCGACUCCAGCCAGAUCUCGGGGCAGCGGAGCGGCUGACCGGAUGGAGCGGAGCGGAGCAGAGUGGCUGACCAGAUGGAGCGGAGCGUGGCGGAGCGGGAAGGAGCGUGGCGGAGCAGAAUGACCAAGGAGGACUGGAUGGAGGAGCAGACAGAGAAGAGGAAGAGUGAAGAAAGGAGCACCCGAAGAAAGGAGGGGGACCGUGGCCUGGGUCCCCCCCCCGGCCUCCGGGACAAUGACCAGCAGCGGUUAUAGAGAAAAUCACCAAAAAAAACCGCUUUUGUACUUAACAAAAAAUUUUAAUUUUUUGCAUAUAUACGUUAGUAUAUAUGUAUAUAAUAGGGGCAGCAGGGG